UCCGUAGGGGGCUAGCGUUGUCCGGAAUUAUUGGGCGUAAAGCGCGUGUAGGCGGUCCGGUAAGUCCGCUGUGAAAGUCGAGGGCUCAACCCUCGAAUGCCGGUGGAUACUGUCGGGCUUGAGUACGGGAGAGGCGAGUGGAAUUCCUGGUGUAGCGGUGAAAUGCGUAGAUAUCAGGAGGAACACCGGCGGUGUAGACGGCUGUCUGGACCGUAGCUGACGCUGAGACACGAAAGCGUGGGUAGCAAACAGG
Molecule: ribosomal RNA, 253 nt
Filed under: uncultured bacterium
Lineage: Bacteria
Description: partial 16S ribosomal RNA
Rfam family: Bacterial small subunit ribosomal RNA
Source: RNAcentral